This 3372-nucleotide long non-coding RNA is filed under the name Coffea arabica (coffee). RNAcentral describes it as "long non-coding RNA (CARA_LNC005305)". The record is from RNAcentral. Lineage: Eukaryota; Viridiplantae; Streptophyta; Magnoliopsida; Gentianales; Rubiaceae.
GGUUCCCCCAUUGGUCCAGUUGAACUCCUUUAAAAUAGGUUAGAGUAGGAAUAUGAGUAGGUGUAAAGUAGAUUAUUACCAACUGUAGAAAACAAAAUACAAAUUGCUGGUGCUGAUUUUUUUUUUCGAAAUAAGGAAGCAAAUAUGCUUUCAAAAAUGGAGAAGAAUGACUAAUUGGUUUUUAAUAAUUACACCUUGAAGUGUCAAUAGGUUAUUAGAUUCAGGACGUUGGAACUAGUGCUAUUGGAGGUUUGAUCAAGUUUCAGGGAUUUGGGGCAGGGACGGUGUCAUACUGAUGACCGUCCCUGCACGGUUAAGGGCCAAGAUUUGCUCUCAAAAUUUUGUGUGGCUGAAAUUACACCAUGUAAUUCGAUUUUUGCGCCAAGUGUGGGGCCCACAACUAUCUGUUAUGAAAAUACAUCCUGUGAAAAAAAAGUUACAUCGUGUUUAACCAAUGUUACGCGCAGUGCAAAAUGAAGACAACCUACACAAACGGUUGCACCUGCAACCGUUUGUGCCCCGUAUCCAAACUGUCAUGCAGAGUAUAAUGCAUCAUAAUAAAAAAAUCUAAUUUACUUUCUUCGACUCUGUUUCUUUCAUCCUUUCACAUGAAGACAAUUGAAAUGCCAUUAUGAAGGGUGCAAUCUAGUCUUCAACAAGUGGACAUUGGCACAUAAUAUAAGAUGAUGAAGUGUGAAGCUAUAUAAACAUUAUUAGUAACUUGUAAGCUUGUUUGUGACACAUUUGUUUUGGAAAAUAGUCUUCGCUUAUUUAUCUUUAGUAGCUGUUCAACUUUGACAUCUCGAGUCACAUGAUUUCUUGUUUAUUUUGAUUACAGGCUUACCCACAAGAAAAGGUUGGCGUUUUUGUUCAGCAAGGCAAAGGAAGACCGUAGACCUCUGUCUGUCCUCGAAUACAGUGAGUUGGACCCGUCUUUGUCUAGUGCUGUAAAUUUAGAGGUGUUAAAACGGGUGAUUUGGACAAGUUUGAGUUGGUCAAAAUAAAUAAUGGGUAUUAGUGAAUCAACCCAUUUAUAUUCAUUUAAUUAGAUUGGUAUGAAAGGGUAAGUAAAAAAAUGAAUUGGAUAACUUGAUUAACAAUUUAUAACCUAUUUAUUUUAACUUUUUGUAAACUCAUUUAAAUUCAUUUUUGCAAACUAAAUUAUCAAUUUAUACCACCCUUUGCAUCCAUCAUUAGUUUUGAAUAUUUACUUAUAAUACUCAAUAAGCCUAAUUACCAAUUUUUUACCUAUCCGUACUUUAUGUCGCAAAAUUACAUACUAUUUAAUAAUUGAACAAUAAGAAUAUAAAUAGGUAUUAUUGGGUAACUAGCAUUUUUUGAACCCCUAGCAUUUUUUUUUCAUGUGUAAAUUUAAAAUUUCAUUUUGAAAAGAUAGGAAAAAAGUCUAAUACUUGUCAUAAAUUGAUAAUACUGAAAAAUGAGCAAGUUAACAAAUUAAGAGAAAAUAAAAUAAUAAGAUAAAACUAACAAAUAAUAAUAAUAAUGAAACAAAAGUAGUUAACAUCAUGACAAAAUAAAAAAUCUGAAAAAACAAGGGUGAGAGAAGAGAGGAGACUGGGGGAAUAUAAUUUUAGAUGGAUUAAUUAGGUCUGAUGGGUUAUCCAAUAAUACUCAUUUACCAAAUAAAUGAGUAUUAUUAGAUAAUCCAUUUAUACCCAUAUACAAAAACUUAAGAUACUCAUACUCAUUCAUUCAUGGACGGAUAUGGAUAAAUUUAGACAAAUGGAUUGGUUUGCCACACCUAUACUAUAAACCAGCAAACUGGUCGUCUGCGAUUUUGUUGGAGCAACGUAUUGUCCCUCUUUGCCUCUUUUCUUUUUUCUUUUUUUUUUUCUCUCUGUCUUCUUAAAGAAUGGUUAUUCAGUAUAGAUAAUAUGGUGCCAUUUACUAUGGACUUUAAGUUAUUAUAUCUCUUCCACAUGUUGCUUUAAGCGAUUGUCUUCUCUGAUUUCUUCCUGGUUGCAUUUUCAGGUUUGCCUACAUAUGUUUACUUUAGAUUUUCUGAACCAAGUGGCAAAUGGUUUACUUUAGCUCCUUGUUUAGUUCUUUUCACGAUGCUUUCCCGUUUCAAUUAAAACAUGUAAUCGAGCAAAUUAAUUCAGGCACUCCUUUAGGAUUUUACUACACACUAACCUAUCUAUUGCCAGCCGCGAAGCACUACUAUCUAUUGCCAAUUUUUAAAAUUUUUAUUGCUAUUAUGGAACUGAUCAGAUGUAGAAAGCUUUACAACGUGAGUGCAGCCAUCACCUUGCAGAGAAGAAAAUUCCAUCAGUUCAUCUUUGAUGCAUUUCCAUAUGCACCUUCUACAGCCCUUUUUGGGGUAAUUAUCGUUGGGAAAUGUUUGACGAAUCUCUCUCUCUCUCUAAAACAACAACCGGAUGACGGAUAUUUUAGCACACCUACUUUGUUUUUUUUUUUUUUUUUGAUAAGAAAACAUAUUUCAAUAACGGAUUACUGGAAAUCGUCCCGCACGAUUGAUAUACAUUGCUGCCCUAAUGACAGAUAAAACAUGCACUAAAAUAAUAGAUCUGAAAUUUAACAAAUACAUAAGACUUGAGAAAUUAAGGACAGAUCUAAAAAGUACGAUAAAAUUUAAAAUCAUUCCAUCAUAGAAUAAAUCGCUGAAACUCACUCUAUGCAUGUUGUAAUCGUCAGAUCUGCUAAUCAACAGUUGUAAGGUCCAAUAAAGAUGAUGAGAUCUGCCGAGAUAGAUCCAAAUCUAAAAUAAAUUCAUCCAUAGAUAUUUGUGCAUGUCUAUUCCCUCAGAUCUACUAUCCAAUUGGUUCAAGCUCAAAACUGAUAUUGAGAUCUGAUGAGAAGACUCAAGAAGUUUUAGAUCUAACAUAUAGAUCUAAAAAAAACUCCAAGAUCUGAGAAAAUAAAUAACAAAACUAAAGAAAACUCUCACUAAUAUAGUUUAGGAGAGAAGAAAACGCACACUAGGACACCCUAGGAGAGACGAAAACUCCCACUAGGAUACCUUAAGGGAGACUUUAUUAAAUAAAAGUAAGAACAAAGAACAAAGGAAGAGGAAGGGAGACCUUGGCUUAAGGCCAAGAUCUCCCUCCUAUGGAGGAAGACGAGUAGAGAGAAGGAAGAAAAGAAUUCUAGAGAGAAGGAAGAGAAGUAGGCAUAGCACACCUACUUUGUUAAUAAUGCAUCAAUACAAAGUAGAAUUACUGUAGCGGAUCAUAGAUAUUUUAGCAUACUUAUUGUAAUUGUCUUCCUGGAAGGGCUGAUUCAAAUUCACCUUUUAAAAGAAUUGAAAUCGAUCAUCGGUUUUUAAAUCGAAUUAGAACCGACUAUUUUGAAACUGUGGCCAUGUCUGCGUACAAAUUGGGCAGUAAAAGG